UUUCCAUAUGCAUUUAUGCCUACCAACAUAAUAUUCAUAAAAUGUGAUUUAUGCAAUGCUCGAAAAGGACAACUGACCUGACUUUUCCUUGUCAUCAACGAUAGCAAAUUCCUCAUUUCUUGAAGUCGUAUGACGCACCAGGAAGCAGCCCAGACGCGGGUGGGGAAAUGGAGCAGCUGUGACGACGUGCUGGGAGCCGCCUCAUAGAUACGGCGGCGGGACGACAGAGCGAUGGCGCAUUAGAAUGCGGGGCGGGAUUGGGAAAUAGAAUGCGACAGCGGGGGUGAGGGGGGAAUGCGAGCACCUGGUAUUCUGGAGGCGUGCGGGGGCGGCUCGACAACGAAUCGCAGCGGCGCUGCACGGGCAAAUGCUCCGGUUGACCGCGAGGGGAGUGUGUAGCGGCGUCGAUUAGGGUUGAGAUAAUGGUAUUAUGGAGGCGUGCGGGGGCGGAGGGACGACGAAUCACGAUGGCGCUGCACGAUGAUAUGCUUCGGGUUGACCACGAGGGAAGUGAGUAGCAACGGGGGGUUAGGGUAGAGAGAACGAUAGGCGAUAUGGACGAUGAGGUCUCAAGGAAUAUG
RNAcentral lists this long non-coding RNA (581 nucleotides) under Zea mays. Its description in RNAcentral is "long non-coding RNA NONZMAT003933". The record is from RNAcentral. Lineage: Eukaryota; Viridiplantae; Streptophyta; Magnoliopsida; Poales; Poaceae.